This is a transfer RNA of Sulfolobales archaeon, 74 nucleotides long. It matches the Rfam family "tRNA". From Rfam's summary of the family: Transfer RNA (tRNA) molecules are approximately 80 nucleotides in length. Their secondary structure includes four short double-helical elements and three loops (D, anti-codon, and T loops). The record is from Rfam. NCBI's taxonomy places the organism in Archaea, Thermoproteati, Thermoproteota, Thermoprotei, Sulfolobales.
GCGGCCGUAGUCUAGCCUGGUAGGACGCUGGCCUCCCAAGCCAGUGAUCCCGGGUUCAAAUCCCGGCGGUCGCA